AUGGAGCUCGCCAUGCUGGCCAUCCGCCCCCUCCUCCCCAAGCUGGGGGACCUGCUCACAGGCGAGUUCACCCUGGAGAAGCGCGUGAGGAAAGGCGUUGACACUCUCGACAAGGAGUUGCAGCUGAUGCACGCUGCUCUCGGCAAGGUGGCGAAGGUGCCGCCAGAGGAGCUCGACGAGGGGGUCAAGAUCUGGGCUGGAAUGGUGAGGGACCUGGCCUACCAAAUGGAGGACAUCGUCGAUGCCUUCGUGCUGCGCGUGGGCAAUGGAUCUGCCAUCCCGAAGAAUAGAGUGAAGAAGUUACUCAAGAAGACAGGCAGAUUAUUCAAGAAGGGUAAAGAUCUUCAUCGAAUCUCCGAUGCUCUAGAAGAAGCAGUUGGUCAGGCUAGACAGUUGGCUGAGCUUCGCCAAAGGUACGAGCUGGAGACGCGGGACGCCGACGCUGGGGCUAGUGUUGACCCUCGCACCAUGGCUAUGUACAUAGAUAUGACAGAGCUCGUCAGCAUUGAAGAGCCACGAGAUGAAUUGAUCAAUAUGUUGCUUGAUGAUGAUGACUGGUCAAAUAAUUCGUUGAAGAUGGUCUCUGUUGUUGGAUUUGGUGGGUUAGGCAAGACAACUCUUGCUAAAGUUGUGUAUGACAAGAUCAAAGUGCAAUUUGAUUGCAGUGCUUUUGUUUCGGUUUCUCAGAAUCCAAACAUGAAGAAAAUCUUGAAGGAUAUUCUUUUUGAACUCGACAAGGACAAGUAUUCAGAUAUAUAUAACGUCGAGUCGAACGAGAAGAAAGGCAUCUCAUCAAUGAACUCAUUGAAUUCCUUGCUGAAAAAAGGUACCUCAUGGUAA
This 840-nucleotide ribosomal RNA is filed under the name Triticum aestivum (bread wheat). RNAcentral describes it as "partial small subunit ribosomal RNA". The record is from RNAcentral. Lineage: Eukaryota; Viridiplantae; Streptophyta; Magnoliopsida; Poales; Poaceae.